UACGUAGGGGGCAAGCGUUGUCCGGAUUUAUUGGGCGUAAAGAGCGUGUAGGCGGCCAGGUAGGUCUGCAGUGAAAACUCGAGGCUUAACCUCGAGCUGUCGGCGGAAACCAUCUGGCUAGAGUCCGGAAGAGGAGAAUGGAAUUCCCGGUGUAGCGGUGAAAUGCGCAGAUAUCGGGAAGAACACCCGUGGCGAAGGCGGUUCUCUGGGACGGUACUGACGCUGAGACGCGAAAGCGUGGGGAGCGAACAGG
Molecule: ribosomal RNA, 253 nt
Filed under: uncultured bacterium
Lineage: Bacteria
Description: partial 16S ribosomal RNA
Rfam family: Bacterial small subunit ribosomal RNA
Source: RNAcentral